GGGUUGUGAGGUUAAGCGACUAAGCGUACACGGUGGAUGCCCUGGCAGUCAGAGGCGAUGAAGGACGUGCUAAUCUGCGAAAAGCGUCGGUAAGGUGAUAUGAACCGUUAUAACCGGCGAUGUCCGAAUGGGGAAACCCAGUGCAAUUCGUUGCACUAUCGUUAACUGAAUACAUAGGUUAACGAGGCGAACCGGGGGAACUGAAACAUCUAAGUACCCCGAGGAAAAGAAAUCAACCGAGAUUCCCCCAGUAGCGGCGAGCGAACGGGGAGCAGCCCAGAGUCUGAAUCAGCUUGUGUGUUAGUGGAACGGUCUGGAAAGUCCGACGGUACAGGGUGAUAGUCCCGUACACCAAAAUGCACAGGUUGUGAACUCGAAGAGUAGGGCGGGACACGUGGUAUCCUGUCUGAAUAUGGGGGGACCAUCCUCCAAGGCUAAAUACUCCUGACUGACCGAUAGUGAACCAGUACCGUGAGGGAAAGGCGAAAAGAACCCCGGCGAGGGGAGUGAAAAAGAACCUGAAACCGUGUACGUACAAGCAGUGGGAGCACCUUCGGGUGUGACUGCGUACCUUUUGUAUAAUGGGUCAGCGACUUAUAUUCUGUAGCAAGGUUAACCGUAUAGGGGAGCCGCAGGGAAACCGAGUCUUAACUGGGCGUUAAGUUGCAGGGUAUAGACCCGAAACCCGGUGAUCUAGCCAUGGGCAGGUUGAAGGUUGGGUAACACUAACUGGAGGACCGAACCGACUAAUGUUGAAAAAUUAGCGGAUGACUUGUGGCUGGGGGUGAAAGGCCAAUCAAACCGGGAGAUAGCUGGUUCUCCCCGAAAGCUAUUUAGGUAGCGCCUCGUGAACUCAUCUUCGGGGGUAGAGCACUGUUUCGGCUAGGGGGUCAUCCCGACUUACCAACCCGAUGCAAACUACGAAUACCGAAGAAUGUUAUCACGGGAGACACACGGCGGGUGCUAACGUCCGUCGUGAAGAGGGAAACAACCCAGACCGCCAGCUAAGGUCCCAAAGUCAUGGUUAAGUGGGAAACGAUGUGGGAAGGCACAGACAGCCAGGAUGUUGGCUUAGAAGCAGCCAUCAUUUAAAGAAAGCGUAAUAGCUCACUGGUCGAGUCGGCCUGCGCGGAAGAUGUAACGGGGCUAAACCAUGCACCGAAGCUGCGGCAGCGACACUAUGUGUUGUUGGGUAGGGGAGCGUUCUGUAAGCCUGCGAAGGUGACCUGUGAGGGUUGCUGGAGGUAUCAGAAGUGCGAAUGCUGACAUAAGUAACGAUAAAGCGGGUGAAAAGCCCGCUCGCCGGAAGACCAAGGGUUCCUGUCCAACGUUAAUCGGGGCAGGGUGAGUCGACCCCUAAGGCGAGGCCGAAAGGCGUAGUCGAUGGGAAACAGGUUAAUAUUCCUGUACUUGGUGUUACUGCGAAGGGGGGACGGAGAAGGCUAUGUUAGCCGGGCGACGGUUGUCCCGGUUUAAGCAUGUAGGCUGGUUGUCCAGGCAAAUCCGGAUAAUCAAGGCUGAGGUGUGAUGACGAGGCACUACGGUGCUGAAGUAACAAAUGCCCUGCUUCCAGGAAAAGCCUCUAAGCAUCAGGUAACAUCAAAUCGUACCCCAAACCGACACAGGUGGUCAGGUAGAGAAUACCAAGGCGCUUGAGAGAACUCGGGUGAAGGAACUAGGCAAAAUGGUGCCGUAACUUCGGGAGAAGGCACGCUGGUGUGUAGGUGAAGUCCCUGCGGAUGGAGCUGAGACCAGUCGAAGAUACCAGCUGGCUGCAACUGUUUAUUAAAAACACAGCACUGUGCAAACACGAAAGUGGACGUAUACGGUGUGACGCCUGCCCGGUGCCGGAAGGUUAAUUGAUGGGGUUAUCCGUAAGGAGAAGCUCUUGAUCGAAGCCCCGGUAAACGGCGGCCGUAACUAUAACGGUCCUAAGGUAGCGAAAUUCCUUGUCGGGUAAGUUCCGACCUGCACGAAUGGCGUAAUGAUGGCCAGGCUGUCUCCACCCGAGACUCAGUGAAAUUGAACUCGCUGUGAAGAUGCAGUGUACCCGCGGCAAGACGGAAAGACCCCGUGAACCUUUACUAUAGCUUGACACUGAACAUUGAGCCUUGAUGUGUAGGAUAGGUGGGAGGCUUUGAAGCGUGGACGCCAGUCUGCGUGGAGCCAACCUUGAAAUACCACCCUUUAAUGUUUGAUGUUCUAACGUUGGCCCCUUAUCGGGGUUGCGGACAGUGUCUGGUGGGUAGUUUGACUGGGGCGGUCUCCUCCCAAAGCGUAACGGAGGAGCACGAAGGUUAGCUAAUCCUGGUCGGACAUCAGGAGGUUAGUGCAAUGGCAUAAGCUAGCUUGACUGCGAGCGUGACGGCGCGAGCAGGUGCGAAAGCAGGUCAUAGUGAUCCGGUGGUUCUGAAUGGAAGGGCCAUCGCUCAACGGAUAAAAGGUACUCCGGGGAUAACAGGCUGAUACCGCCCAAGAGUUCAUAUCGACGGCGGUGUUUGGCACCUCGAUGUCGGCUCAUCACAUCCUGGGGCUGAAGUAGGUCCCAAGGGUAUGGCUGUUCGCCAUUUAAAGUGGUACGCGAGCUGGGUUUAGAACGUCGUGAGACAGUUCGGUCCCUAUCUGCCGUGGGCGCUGGAGAAUUGAGGGGGGCUGCUCCUAGUACGAGAGGACCGGAGUGGACGCAUCACUGGUGUUCGGGUUGUCAUGCCAAUGGCACUGCCCGGUAGCUAAAUGCGGAAGAGAUAAGUGCUGAAAGCAUCUAAGCACGAAACUUGCCCCGAGAUGAGUUCUCCCUGAGACUUUAAGUCUCCUGAAGGAACGUUAAAGACGAUGACGUUGAUAGGCCGGGUGUGUAAGCGCAGCGAUGCGUUGAGCUAACCGGUACUAAUGAACCGUGAGGCUUAACCUUACAACGCCGAAG
This 2923-nucleotide ribosomal RNA is filed under the name Klebsiella pneumoniae. RNAcentral describes it as "23S ribosomal RNA". It matches the Rfam family "Bacterial large subunit ribosomal RNA". Lineage: Bacteria; Pseudomonadati; Pseudomonadota; Gammaproteobacteria; Enterobacterales; Enterobacteriaceae. The record is from RNAcentral.